Molecule: ribosomal RNA, 923 nt
Filed under: human gut metagenome
Description: bacterial SSU rRNA
Rfam family: Bacterial small subunit ribosomal RNA
Source: RNAcentral
GAGUUUGAUCCUGGCUCAGGACGAACGCUGGCGGCGUGCCUAAUACAUGCAAGUAGAACGCUGAAGAGAGGAGCUUGCUCUUCUUGGAUGAGUGGCGAACGGGUGAGUAAUACAUAAGUAACCUGGCCUUUAGCGGGGGAUAACUAUUGGAAACGAUAGCUAAGACCGCAUAACAAUGGAUGACACAUGUCAUUUAUUUGAAAGGGGCAAUUGCUCCACUACAAGAUGGACCUGCGUUGUAUUAGCUAGUAGGUGAGGUAACGGCUCACCUAGGCGACGAUACAUAGCCGACCUGAGAGGGUGAUCGGCCACACUGGGACUGAGACACGGCCCAGACUCCUACGGGAGGCAGCAGUAGGGAAUCUUCGGCAAUGGGGGCAACCCUGACCGAGCAACGCCGCGUGAGUGAAGAAGGUUUUCGGAUCGUAAAGCUCUGUUGUAAGUCAAGAACGAGUGUGAGAGUGGAAAGUUCACACUGUGACGGUAGCUUACCAGAAAGGGACGGCUAACUACGUGCCAGCAGCCGCGGUAAUACGUAGGUCCCGAGCGUUAUCCGGAUUUAUUGGGCGUAAAGCGAGCGCAGGCGGUUUGAUAAGUCUGAAGUUAAAGGCUGUGGCUCAACCAUAGUUCGCUUUGGAAACUGUCAAACUUGAGUGCAGAAGGGGAGAGUGGAAUUCCAUGUGUAGCGGUGAAAUGCGUAGAUAUAUGGAGGAACACCGGUGGCGAAAGCGGCUCUCUGGUCUGUAACUGACGCUGAGGCUCGAAAGCGUGGGGAGCGAACAGGAUUAGAUACCCUGGUAGUCCACGCCGUAAACGAUGAGUGCUAGGUGUUGGAUCCUUUCCGGGAUUCAGUGCCGCAGCUAACGCAUUAAGCACUCCGCCUGGGGAGUACGACCGCAAGGUUGAAACUCAAAGGAAUUGAC